Molecule: ribosomal RNA, 497 nt
Filed under: uncultured bacterium
Lineage: Bacteria
Description: partial 16S ribosomal RNA
Rfam family: Bacterial small subunit ribosomal RNA
Source: RNAcentral
GAUGAACGCUGGCGGCGUGCCUAAUACAUGCAAGUCGAGCGAACAGACGAGGAGCUUGCUCCUCUGACGUUAGCGGCUGACGGGUGAGUAACACGUGGAUAACCUACCUAUAAGACUUGGAUAACUUCGGGAAACCGGAGCUAAUACCGGAUAAUAUAUUGAACCGCAUGGUUCAAUAGUUAAAGACGGUUUUGCUGUCACUUAUAGUUGAUUCCGCGCCGCAUUAGUUAGUUGGUAAGGUACCGGCUUACCAAGGCAACGAUGCGUAGCCGACCUGAGAGGAUGAUCGGCCACACUGGAACUGAGACACGGUCCAGACUCCUACGGGAGGCAGCAGUAGGGAAUCUUCCGCAAUGGGCGAAAGCCUGACGGAGCAACGCCGCGUGAGUGAUGAAGGUCUUCGGAUCGUAAAACUCUGUUAUUAGGGAAGAACAAAUGUGUAAGUAACUAUGCACGUCUUGACGGUACCUAAACAGAAAGCAACGGCUAACUACGUG